Molecule: ribosomal RNA, 795 nt
Filed under: uncultured Pelagibacteraceae bacterium
Lineage: Bacteria; Pseudomonadati; Pseudomonadota; Alphaproteobacteria; Candidatus Pelagibacterales; Candidatus Pelagibacteraceae
Description: bacterial SSU rRNA
Rfam family: Bacterial small subunit ribosomal RNA
Source: RNAcentral
GCCUUAUACAUGCAAGUCGAACGGAGUAGCAAUACUCAGUGGCAGACGGGUGAGUAACAUGUGGGAAUCUUCCCUUUGGUGAGGAAUAACACGAGGAAACUUGUGCUAAUACCUCAUAAGUCUUUACAGAGAAAGCUUUAUGCGCCAAUGGAUGAGCCCGCAUUUGAUUAGUUUGUUGGUAGGGUAAUGGCCUACCAAGACUGUGAUCAAUAGCUGAUCUGAGAGGAUGAUCAGCCACAUUGGGACUGAGACACGGCCCAAACUCCUACGGGAGGCAGCAGUAGGGAAUAUUGCACAAUGGAGGAAACUCUGAUGCAGCGAUGCCGCGUGAGUGAAGAAGGCCUUUGGGUUGUAAAGCUCUUUCGUCGGGGAAGAAAAUGACUGUACCCGAAUAAGAAGGUCCGGCUAACUUCGUGCCAGCAGCCGCGGUAAUACGAAGGGACCUAGCGUAGUUCGGAAUUACUGGGCUUAAAGAGUUCGUAGGUGGUUAAAAUAGUUGGUGGUGAAAUCCCAGAGCUUAACUCUGGAACUGCCAUCAAAACUUUUUAGCUAGAGUUUGAUAGAGGAAAGCAGAAUUUCUAGUGUAGAGGUGAAAUUCGUAGAUAUUAGAAAGAAUACCAAUUGCGAAGGCAGCUUUCUGGAUCAUUACUGACACUGAGGAACGAAAGCAUGGGUAGCGAAGAGGAUUAGAUACCCUCGUAGUCCAUGCCGUAAACGAUGUGUGUUAGACGUUGGAAAUUUAUUUUCAGUGUCGCAGCGAAAGCAUUAAACACACCGCCUGGGGAGUACGACCGC